UUCACGACUCUGGAGUAGGCAACAACGAGAAUUCAAACCCCAAUAUCAUAUCUGCUCCUUCCAUUGACAGUGGCACCGCACACUCCUCUGUCACGUGUGGUACUGCGGCCAAGCAUGUUAGGAAAUCAGGAUCAGGAAUUUCUUCAUUGGGCGCUGUUAAUUUGCCUGCCAGAGUGGUUCCUGACACACCAAUGUCGUCUACAGGUAGUCCGCUUUAAAAAAUUAAAAGCUUUCCUGUGUAAAUGUGUCUUUUUGUGACAAAUACACUAUCUGUUAUACCCUUAAAUAAAAAGGAUUAGAAUUAUAUUUGCUUUAUUGUAGACCUCUCUCCAUAACUUACCAACACUAGGCAAUAAAUUUAUUUUCAGAACCACUAUAUAUUCCUUCCAAUCACCUAUACUUCACCUAUAUUUCAUCAAUUGGAUUAGUGUAGUAAAAUUAACAAAAUGAUCAUGAUCGCACGGUAUGAGUUCCUGUGGUUAAUGGAUAUUCCUUUUAAUUGUGUUAUCAUGGUCAGGGUGCGGACAUUGGAUAUUCCUUUUACUUCUUUUAUCACGGUAAGGGCCUCGCUAAACUUGCAGACUAUUAACAACAAUUAACUUUUGUGUCUAGGCCAGUAGGAAAGGGAGAUCAACCUUCAUAGACAGGGGACCAGAAGCCAUACAUUAAGUCACAUCCUCUUCAAUCUAAUGGCUCUGAUAAGAAGUUGCAAUGUGGCUGGAAGCACUCCAUGGAGAAAACUAACAAAGUUCUGGCACUUGCUCUAUAGUGGAAGAGCAUGAUGCAAGUGUGGACAUCUGGAGUCUUGGUGUACUGCGCUAUGAGCUCCUUUAUGGUGGCCCUCCGUUUGAGCAAAAGAACAAUCAGAUAUCAUCGUGACAGUUGUGUAGUUUGUGAAAGUAGUGAGAGAUGCUAUGACUUUGAUGGUGGAAGCUUGAAGAUAGAUUCCAGAUGCACUUAUUAGGUUUCAACACUUUCGGAGUCUCAAUCUUCUUCGAAAGGCAGGGUUUGUAUGCUGAAUCUGAAGUAGAAAGUUUUAAAUAAUCACCCAAAGUUGAAGCUCUGCUACAAGUACAUGAAGGAAGGUGUCUUCAUUCUGUAUGAGCCGUAUCUGGAUAAGUUUGCUUUAAAGCGUAUAGAAGCAAUAUGCCACUGAUGUAUGAUGAUGCUUGAUGUGUGAUGAUGCUUAAUGCAUAGAAGCAGUAUCAAAGUAUCA
RNA transcript from Daucus carota subsp. sativus, 1216 nucleotides. RefSeq lists it as uncharacterized. Lineage: Eukaryota; Viridiplantae; Streptophyta; Magnoliopsida; Apiales; Apiaceae. The record is from RefSeq and is a predicted model, not a curated record. The transcript has 5 exons.